This is a long non-coding RNA of Triticum aestivum (bread wheat), 2139 nucleotides long. RefSeq lists it as uncharacterized. NCBI's taxonomy places the organism in Eukaryota, Viridiplantae, Streptophyta, Magnoliopsida, Poales, Poaceae. The transcript is spliced from 3 exons. The record is from RefSeq and is a predicted model, not a curated record.
CUCCUCCUUCCUAAGAACGCAACAAUGCAGACCCAAAAUCCUCCAAUGUGUAGCUGGGCGAUAGCAAGGGCUUGCCGACGGUGGCGGCGGGCCAGAUCCGGUGGCUAGCUGGGCGACUGCGCCCAGCGGAGGUCCAGAUCCAGCACCCGACCGUCUUGUCGGCUUCCUGGCUGCCUCGACAGACCUCCCCUGUGCGGACAAGUACUCUGCUCUUCGUCACCGCCAGCGCGCCGCCGCACAGCGCAUCGAGAGGAACGAGGGUGUUGUUGCCAAGGAGGAGGUCUCCAUGCACCGCCACUUCGACGACCUCCGCGCCCUCGGCAGAUCGAAGCUCUUCAACUAGUACUAAGUUUGUUCUCCGCUGUUUUGGUGUUGCAUCUUGAACUGAAAUGGAGGGAAGUAGUGAGACAUAGCCUUCAGGAGAGCCCACAGUUCCAGUAAUUGCAAAAUUUAUACCAACACUACCAGUCGUGGAAUCGGUCAAUAGUAGUGCUCAAAAUCAAGAUUUCAGCGAUGCUACCUCGUCUGCAGAGAUUAAUUCACUAAUGCUUCUUAUUGAAUUUCUUUGCCAUUAUUGUAUGUCCAUCAUUAGGCUAUCUUUGUGGUUUACUGGUCAUAGGUAAUAUUAUUCUUCUCGAACCCAUGACUGCUCUGGAGUGAUUAAAUUUUCCAGUGGCUUCUCUGUCCAGUAUAGAAUUUGUCUAUAAUUUUCCUUCCAAACAAAUGGUAUUGUUUAUACUCAUAUUACCACAAAAUCACCAUUUCUUUGUGUCUUUGGUGCUAAAUUAAAAGUACCUGACCAAUAAGAGGCGCUUUACAGGAGUGGAAACCAACAGCUUCAGUGCACAUGCAAAACAUUGUGGCCUGCACUUGUAGUGCUGCUGUCAGCAAAUAUGUGUGCACUAAGGCAAUAUUAGGUCACAGGAUAUAAUUAGCAGGAAAUGUCCAUUGGAGGGAGUAAAUGGCUGAUUGUUUUGACCUACUUGGGCUUGACUUGGGAUAGUCCUUCGGUUGCUAACCAUCCAUUGAGCCAUAAAACUUAUAAUGUAAUAUCAAUACAUCAGUAUAGCCGGUCGUAAGUUGUAUGCAAGUCUUAUUGGGAUGACGAGCUGUGAAAAUAGAUACAAUUGAUCAGUCAUUGUCAAAUUGUAAAUAUAUUUUGUCGUACGAUAUUCUUUUCGUUUUCUCUUCAGUGGUCUAACUCCGCCUAUGUCUUCUAGGCAUAGCCGGUCCCAAGCCCGGGUAAAGGAGGAGGGUUGUGAUAGGCUUGGCGAGCCAACGUAAAAACUAGCCAGUCCCAUAGGUAUGAAACCCAUUUGAGCGAGAAUAGUACUAGGAUGGGUGACCUCCUAGGAAGUCCUCGUGAAAGGGUUUCAUAUCUAAGGGUUGUGAUAGGCUUGGCGAGCCAACAUAAAAACUAGCCAUCUUUUGGGUAUGAAACCCAUUUGGGCGAGAGUAGUACUAGGAUGGGUGACCUCCUGGGAAGUCCUCGUGAAAGGGUUUCAUAUCUAGCCUACCCCAACUUGUUUGGGAUAAAAGGCUUCGUAAGUAAGUUUCUCUUCAGUGGUCUGACAUGUGCCUCUGUGCUGCAGCAUCAAGGUUUUACUUUUGUCAUCUAUGAGUUAGCAAAAGAACUUGAAUUGCAUUAUUAAUUGUUCAAUACAUAUACACGAUCAGGAUUAGAGAACAUAAUUUCCUAUUUCUUUCCUUGUAAUGUAAAGUAUAUUUUUUUCCUUGUAUUUGUAGAUGCAUGAUGCCCUGACAACCGGAAACAUCAAGACCGCAGAUGGAUAUAAGAAGCUUUUAUCAAAGUCUUCCCUUUCUGACGAUUGAGAGAAUUUCUAUGGAAGAUAUAUUUAACUGUGUUUUUUGAUUAUGCAUCUGUACGUGUCUGUGCUCAACUGAAUCGUGUUUGCUUGGUGUGACCUCUCCCAGAACAAGAAGCUUAUGAGCAAGAAGUGGUAGAACUGGAGGGGAAUGCUAGAGCUUUUCUAUUAUGACCAUCAAGAUAGUAGAGCUUAUCGUUUUAAAUAGCAAUGCAUGUUGAGUGGUGAUCAUAUUUACUCUGUCUUGUUGGCCAUGUACUAAAAAUGAUGCUACCAUGUCUCAUCAAGAUAUGUAUGCUUGUGAUAUGCUCAA